This 300-nucleotide unclassified non-coding RNA is filed under the name uncultured Lecanoromycetes. RNAcentral's name for it is "sequence contains 5.8S rRNA gene, ITS2". The stretch from base 1 to 71 matches the Rfam family "5.8S ribosomal RNA", at positions 84 to 154 of the family's 154-position model. The record is from RNAcentral. Lineage: Eukaryota; Fungi; Ascomycota; Lecanoromycetes.
GUGAGUCAUCGAAUCUUUGAACGCACAUUGCACCUUUUGGUAUUCCGAAAGGUAUGCUUGUUCGAGCGUCGUUUAAACAAUAUCAAUUUAAUUAUUGAAUGUAUUGAGUGUUUUUAUUCUCUAAAUUUUAUUAUUAAGAGACACUCCGAAACGAUUGAGCGAUCUUGACUAGAUUUAAUUGACGCAUUAAAAUUUAAUUAUUAUCGUCAAUAGAAGAAGUUAAAUUGAUCUGCCAGAUUUUAAAAACUUGCAAUUUAAGAAUGGUUUUAUUAUUAUUCUAAAUUCAACCCCCAAAUUUUA